AUGGGGAUGAGGCCGUGCCAAAGCCAAGGGAAUUUGGGGCAGAAGCAGCGAAGGUUUGGGGCUGGGGGAGCGGCCGUGACCCUGCUGGAGCCCGGGGGCACCUCCAGCCCCCCGGGGGCUCCCUGCGCCUCCUCUGCCGAGCAUCCGGCUUCGAUUUUGGGAGUUUUUGGAUGUUCUGGGUCCACCAGAGGCCCGGGCAGGGGCUGGAAUUCGUGGCAAGUAUCAGCAGCAAUGGUGGUGACACCAGAUACGCGCCCUCGGUCAAGGGCCGGUUCAGGAUCUCCAGGGACAACGGGCAGAGCUCGGUGACGCUGACCAUGAACAGCCUCAAGGACCAGGAUUCCGCCGUCUAUUUCUGUGCCAAAUCUGCUGGUGCUGGUGCUGGUUGGAAUGCUAAUGGUGCUGGAUAUAUUGACGGGGCCGGCCAUGACCCCAUCCCCAACCAGCAUCAGCAUAAGCACCGUAACCGUCUGUACCCUUGGAACAGAAAUAGACGGCGGAAUCCUGGUCCUUGA
Molecule: non-coding RNA, 515 nt
Organism: Agelaius phoeniceus (red-winged blackbird)
Lineage: Eukaryota; Metazoa; Chordata; Aves; Passeriformes; Icteridae
Source: the annotation of a RefSeq genome assembly